UAUCACCUUCCAUAAAUAUAUUGCAACUCAUCUACCCCCUAUAUCUAGCCUAUUUCCAGCUGUGUUUUAUCAUUUCAAGCAACACUAAAGUCAAUAUUCUUGUACAUUCCCCAAAAUGAAUUAAGCAAAGGUCCUGAUGGAAUUGGAAUUCAUAGCCCUCUGAUCAUCUUACCCUAACAUUUCUCCCCCUCUGGGUGUAUGAACCAACAUUCUUUUUGGGGUGCAGAAGGUGGGAGUUCUGGAUUGAAAGAGAAUCUUAAUCUCCAAUGCAAUGGUAGAGCCUACCAUGUGAGUCAACUGCAAACCAAAACCAUGAGCCUGCUGCCACCUUGAACUUGGACUUCAAGCCUCUAAAAACGUAAUAAACAAAGCUGUUGUUUAA
This is a long non-coding RNA of Erinaceus europaeus (western European hedgehog), 382 nucleotides long. RefSeq lists it as uncharacterized. Lineage: Eukaryota; Metazoa; Chordata; Mammalia; Eulipotyphla; Erinaceidae. The transcript is spliced from 2 exons. The record is from RefSeq and is a predicted model, not a curated record.